Molecule: transfer RNA, 85 nt
Filed under: Candidatus Pacearchaeota archaeon
Lineage: Archaea; Nanobdellati
Description: tRNA-Asp
Rfam family: tRNA
About the family: Transfer RNA (tRNA) molecules are approximately 80 nucleotides in length.
Source: RNAcentral
GCCCCAGUAGCAUUAAAGGUAAUGCAACGGCCUGUCAAGCCGUGUCUGGUCUACAGACUUCCUGGUUCGAAUCCCGGCUGGGGCG